Molecule: ribosomal RNA, 774 nt
Filed under: uncultured fungus
Lineage: Eukaryota; Fungi
Description: eukaryotic LSU rRNA
Rfam family: Eukaryotic large subunit ribosomal RNA
Source: RNAcentral
CCCGCUGAACUUAAGCAUAUCAGUAAGCAGAGGAAAAGAAACUAACGAGGAUUCCCUUAGUAACGGCGAGUGAACCGGGAUUAGUCCAGCGCUUAAUCGUAUUGCUUUUGCUUUAUGAGGUGUAGCGUAUAAACGAUUCUUUUUGUGUGACGAUCUGGUUUAAGUCUCCCUUGAAUGGGGUUCCGUAGAGGGUGGAAGGCCCUUGGAAUCAGAUCUUGGCAUGAAUGGAGUUGUUUUGGAGUCGGGUUGUUUGGUAUCGCAGCCCGAAGUAGGUGGUAGACUUCAUCUAAGACUAAAUAUGACUACGAAACCGAUAGCAAACAAGUACUGUGAAGGAAAGUUUAAAAGCACUUUGAAGAGAGAGUUAAAUAGAACGUGAAACCGAUAGGAUGGAAACGGAUAGAGCCGACGUAUCAGAUUUGUAUUUAGCCGUUGGAUUACUUCGUCGGCUUUGCGACACUCCCUUUGGUUGUGUUGUCUUGUUGGUUGUUGUGGUCCGGUGGUGAAUUUGCAGAUUGCUUGCGCUGAGUGCUGUGCAGUAGCGUUCGGGUAUGCACUUUGAGGUCUCUCCCUGGAGAGUAACUUUGGUGCAUGGAUGAUUGUUUAUUGUUCAGUGAUUGUAGACUGUGGUUUACGAGCCAGUUUGUGGUGUUUGAUGGACUAUUCCAUGACUGCUUGCAGUUGUGUUUAGUUUUUUGAAUGUUGCGGAUGUAGGAUCCCAUUGUCAUCUCGGUGUAUUAGUUGGUCAUCUAUUUGACCCGUCUUGAAACACGG